This 1669-nucleotide ribosomal RNA is filed under the name metagenome. RNAcentral describes it as "SSU rRNA". It matches the Rfam family "Eukaryotic small subunit ribosomal RNA", at positions 184 to 1801 of the family's 1831-position model. The record is from RNAcentral.
UCUCUGGUGUGUGCAAGCAUAUCGGAAGGAAAGGGCGUAUUUAUUAGGUACAAGACCACACGGGUUUCGGCCCGGUAUCGACGAUUCAUAAUAACUAAACGAAUCGCAGGCACACGCCGGCGAUGUUACAAACGAGUUUCUGACCUAUCAACUUUAGAUGGCAGAGUAGGGGUUUGUCAUGGUGACAACGGGUGACGGGGAAUUAGGGUUCGAUUCCGGAGAGGGAGCCUGAGAAACGGCUACCACUUCCAAGGAAGGCAGCAGGCGCGCAAAUUACCCAAUACCAAUUCGGUGAGGUAGUGACAAGAAAUACCAAUGUAGGACACAACGUGUACUACGUUUGGAAUGAGUACAAUUUAAAAACCUUAACGAGGAACAAUUGGAGGGCAAGUCUGGUGCCAGCAGCCGCGGUAAUUCCAGCCCCAAUAGUGUAUAUUAAAGUUGCUGCGGUUAAAAAGCUCGUAGUUGGAUUUCGGAACGCACAGAGUCAGAGCCCAUCCUUAGGGGUGCGUGCUCGACCCUUGCUUCCUACCUUCCGGUAACGCGUGAUUCCUCUUCGCGGGGGAGUUACGAGGUUCCGGAUCGUUUACUUUGAAAAAAUUAGAGUGUUCAAAGCAGGCGUAACUUGCAUUCGAAUACAUUAGCAUGGGAUAAUAGAAUACGACUUUGGUCUUAUUUUGUUGGUUUCUAAGGCCGAAGUAAUGAUUGAUAGGGAUAGUUGGGGCUGCUCGUAUUGAGUUGUCAGAGGUGAAAUUCUAGGAUCUACUCAAGACGAACUAAUGCGAAAGCAUUCAGCAAGGAUGUUUUCAUUAAUCAAGAACGAAAGUUGGGGGAUCGAAGAUGAUCAGAUACCGUCGUAGUCUCAACCAUAAACUAUGUCGACCGAGGAUCCGGUAUCGUUACAUGGAUGACCUUCCAGGCACUCUGUUAGAAAUCACAAGUAUUUGGAUUUCGGGGGGAGUAUGGUCGCAAGGCUGAAACUUAAAGGGAUUGACGGAAGGGCACCACCAGGAGUGGAAUCUGCGGCUUAAUUUGACUCAACACGGGAAAACUUACCAGGUCCGGACACAGUGAGGAUUGACAGAUUGAGAGCUCUUUCUUGAUUCUGUGGGUGGUGGUGCAUGGCCGUUUUUAGUUGGUGGAGUGAUUUGUCUGGUUAAUUCCGUUAUCGAACGAGACCUUGACCUACUAAAUAGUUGUGCGAACUCGGUUCUUCGAGCUGACUCUUCGGGGAAGGUAAGGGAACCGUCAACGUUCGCAAAAGACUUCUUAGAGGGACUCUUCGCAUCUCUAGCGAAUGGAAGUUUGAGGCAAAAACAGGUCUGUGAUGCCCUUCGGUGUUCUGGGCUGCACGCGCGUUACACUGACGCAUGCAACGAGCUUUAUUCCUGGCCCGACGGGGUUGGGUAAUCUUUUUAAAGUGCGUCGUGAUGGGGAUAGAACAUUGCAAUUAUUGUUCUUGAACGAGGAAUUCCUAGUAAUUGCAGGUCAACAACCUGCGAUGAUUACGUCCCUGCCCUUUGUACACACCGCCCGUCGCUCCUACCGAUGGUUGAACCGAUGAGGACUCGGGACAUUUGGGGUUCCCGGUCGGCCGCAAGGUCGAUCGCCCUAGGUGAAACUUGUUCAAAUCUUUUUAACUAGAGGAAGGAGAAGUCGUAACAAGGUU